Molecule: ribosomal RNA, 597 nt
Filed under: uncultured Lachnospiraceae bacterium
Lineage: Bacteria; Bacillati; Bacillota; Clostridia; Lachnospirales; Lachnospiraceae
Description: bacterial SSU rRNA
Rfam family: Bacterial small subunit ribosomal RNA
Source: RNAcentral
GCUAAUACCGCAUAAGCGCACAGGAUUGCAUGAUCCGGUGUGAAAAACUCCGGUGGUAUGGGAUGGACCCGCGUCUGAUUAGCCAGUUGGCAGGGUAACGGCCUACCAAAGCGACGAUCAGUAGCCGACCUGAGAGGGUGACCGGCCACAUUGGGACUGAGACACGGCCCAAACUCCUACGGGAGGCAGCAGUGGGGAAUAUUGCACAAUGGGGGAAACCCUGAUGCAGCGACGCCGCGUGAGCGAAGAAGUAUUUCGGUAUGUAAAGCUCUAUCAGCAGGGAAGAAGAAUGACGGUACCUGACUAAGAAGCACCGGCUAAAUACGUGCCAGCAGCCGCGGUAAUACGUAUGGUGCAAGCGUUAUCCGGAUUUACUGGGUGUAAAGGGAGCGCAGGCGGUGCGGCAAGUCUGAUGUGAAAGCCCGGGGCUCAACCCCGGUACUGCAUUGGAAACUGUCGUACUAGAGUGUCGGAGGGGUAAGUGGAAUUCCUAGUGUAGCGGUGAAAUGCGUAGAUAUUAGGAGGAACACCAGUGGCGAAGGCGGCUUACUGGACGAUAACUGACGCUGAGGCUCGAAAGCGUGGGGAGCAAACAGG